Molecule: ribosomal RNA, 481 nt
Filed under: uncultured bacterium
Lineage: Bacteria
Description: SSU rRNA
Rfam family: Bacterial small subunit ribosomal RNA
Source: RNAcentral
AGGACGAACGCUGGCGGCGUGCUUAACACAUGCAAGUCGUGGGCACCUCGCAAGAGGUGACCGGCGAACGGGUGCGUAACACGUGAGCGACCUACCGAUGCGCGGGGGAUAGCCGGCCCAACGGCCGGGUAAUACCGCAUACGCCACUCGGGCCGCAUGGCCUGAUUGGGAAACCUCCGGGGCGGAUCGAGGGGCUCGCGGCCUAUCAGCUAGUUGGCGGGGUAACGGCCCACCAAGGCGACGACGGGUAGCUGGUCUGAGAGGAUGGCCAGCCACAUUGGGACUGAGAAACGGCCCAGACUCCUACGGGAGGCAGCAGUGGGGAAUAUUGCGCAAUGGCCGCAAGGCUGACGCAGCGACGCCGCGUGUGGGAUGACGCCCUUCGGGGUGUAAACCACUGUUGCCCGGGACGAACGAGGGGAUUUAUCCCCUGUGACGGUACCGGGUGAGGAGCACCGGCUAACUCCGCGCCAGCAGCCGC